GAUGAAGAACGUAGCGAAAUGCGAUAAGUAAUGUGAAUUGCAGAAUUCAGUGAAUCAUCGAAUCUUUGAACGCACCUUGCACCCUUUGGUAUUCCGAAGGGUAUGCUCGUUUGAGUGUCAUUGUACUCUCACACUUCCGAUCGUUUGGAUCGGGAGCGGUGGACUUGGGUGUUGCUGCUUUACUGUGGCUCACCUUAAAUGCAUUAGUGCACCUUUCGGUUGGACAUAGUACGGCGUGAUAAGUGUCUUCGCCGGCACCUCACAGAGGGUGGCUGAUCGGGAGCUCUGUGCUUCAAACCGUCCUCAGACAACAGCUGACAACUUGACCUCAAAUCGAGUAGGACUACCCGCUGAACUUAAGCAUAUCAAUAAGCGGAGGA
Molecule: unclassified non-coding RNA, 380 nt
Filed under: soil metagenome
Description: partial contains 5.8S ribosomal RNA, internal transcribed spacer 2, and large subunit ribosomal RNA
Rfam family: 5.8S ribosomal RNA (bases 1-120)
Source: RNAcentral